RNAcentral lists this non-coding RNA (29 nucleotides) under Mus musculus (house mouse). Lineage: Eukaryota; Metazoa; Chordata; Mammalia; Rodentia; Muridae. The record is from RNAcentral.
UGUUGGCAUGGUGUACUGUUCUGCCAUGU